This 635-nucleotide ribosomal RNA is filed under the name Enterococcus faecalis. RNAcentral's name for it is "bacterial SSU rRNA". It matches the Rfam family "Bacterial small subunit ribosomal RNA", at positions 69 to 683 of the family's 1533-position model. The record is from RNAcentral. Lineage: Bacteria; Bacillati; Bacillota; Bacilli; Lactobacillales; Enterococcaceae.
CUCCCGAGUGCUUGCACUCAAUUGGAAAGAGGAGUGGCGGACGGGUGAGUAACACGUGGGUAACCUACCCAUCAGAGGGGGAUAACACUUGGAAACAGGUGCUAAUACCGCAUAACAGUUUAUGCCGCAUGGCAUAAGAGUGAAAGGCGCUUUCGGGUGUCGCUGAUGGAUGGACCCGCGGUGCAUUAGCUAGUUGGUGAGGUAACGGCUCACCAAGGCCACGAUGCAUAGCCGACCUGAGAGGGUGAUCGGCCACACUGGGACUGAGACACGGCCCAGACUCCUACGGGAGGCAGCAGUAGGGAAUCUUCGGCAAUGGACGAAAGUCUGACCGAGCAACGCCGCGUGAGUGAAGAAGGUUUUCGGAUCGUAAAACUCUGUUGUUAGAGAAGAACAAGGACGUUAGUAACUGAACGUCCCCUGACGGUAUCUAACCAGAAAGCCACGGCUAACUACGUGCCAGCAGCCGCGGUAAUACGUAGGUGGCAAGCGUUGUCCGGAUUUAUUGGGCGUAAAGCGAGCGCAGGCGGUUUCUUAAGUCUGAUGUGAAAGCCCCCGGCUCAACCGGGGAGGGUCAUUGGAAACUGGGAGACUUGAGUGCAGAAGAGGAGAGUGGAAUUCCAUGGUUAAACCGG